Molecule: ribosomal RNA, 395 nt
Filed under: uncultured bacterium
Lineage: Bacteria
Description: bacterial SSU rRNA
Rfam family: Bacterial small subunit ribosomal RNA
Source: RNAcentral
GACGAACGCUGGCGGCGUGCUUAACACAUGCAAGUCGAGCGAGGUCCAUCCGGUGGCAACACCGGGGAAGACCUAGCGGCGAACGGGUGAGUAACACGUGAGCAACCUGCCCCGAAGACUGGGAUAACACCGGGAAACCGGUGCUAAUACCGGAUGCCCUCCUCUGGUCGCAUGGCCUAGGGAGGAAAUGAAUUUUGCUUCGGGAGGGGCUCGCGGGCUAUCAGCUCGUUGGUGGGGUAACGGCUCACCAAGGCGACGACGGCUAGCUGGUCUGAGAGGACGACCAGCCACACUGGGACUGAGACACGGCCCAGACUCCUACGGGAGGCAGCAGUGGGGAAUCUUGCGCAAUGGGCGAAAGCCUGACGCAGCAACGCCGCGUGGGGAUGAAGGCC